CUAACUGAAAUCUUAAGUCUUUAAAAGUGGUACUUGAGAUAACGUAAGGGAAAAAAAAUGAUAGUACCUUACUAUAAGUGUUGUCCAAUUAACUGGUGCCAGAAGACUCGGUAACGCCAGAAACGCAAACGUUAGUCGUCCUAAUCAGGCGUAAAGGGUAAGUAGGCUGCUUUAAAAGUUAUUAUAUAAAAAGCUCUUUAAUUAACAAAAGUAUAGUAAUAAUGAAUUAAAGCUAGAAUCAAAUAGAGGAUAAGCCAAAUAAUAUUUAGAGUAGGGGUGAAAUCCUUAGAUACUAAAUGGAAUACUAAAGGUGAAAACAUUUAUCUAAAAUUGAUUGACGCUGAGGAACGAAGGUGAGAAUAGAAAAUAGGAUUUGAGACCCAGAUAUCUCUCACUGUCAACGAUGAAUGGUGGUUGUUAGUUUUAAAAAAAACUAGUAACGAUGUUAACGCGAUAACCAUUCCGCCUUGCGAGUACGGUUGCAAAACUGAAACCAAAAAAAUUAGU
This 507-nucleotide ribosomal RNA is filed under the name Coprinus comatus. RNAcentral describes it as "partial 12S ribosomal RNA". It matches the Rfam family "Bacterial small subunit ribosomal RNA", at positions 405 to 913 of the family's 1533-position model. The record is from RNAcentral. Lineage: Eukaryota; Fungi; Basidiomycota; Agaricomycetes; Agaricales; Agaricaceae.